This 253-nucleotide ribosomal RNA is filed under the name uncultured bacterium. RNAcentral describes it as "partial 16S ribosomal RNA". It matches the Rfam family "Bacterial small subunit ribosomal RNA", at positions 524 to 776 of the family's 1533-position model. The record is from RNAcentral.
UACAGAGGUCCCAAGCGUUGUUCGGAUUCACUGGGCGUAAAGGGUGCGUAGGCGGCCGGGUAAGUCUGAUGUGAAAUCCCGCAGCUUAACUGCGGAACUGCAUCGGAUACUCUCCGGCUAGAGGAAUGGAGGGGAGACUGGAAUUCUCGGUGUAGCAGUGAAAUGCGUAGAUAUCGAGAGGAACACCAGUGGCGAAGGCGGCAUCCUGGACCGGUAUUGACGCUGAGGCGCGAAAGCCAGGGGAGCAAACGGG